CUUCCGUAGGGGUGACCUGCGGAAGGAUCAUUACCGAGUUGAUUCGAGCUCCGGCUCGACUCUCCCACCCAAUGUGUACCUACCUCUGUUGCUUUGGCGGGCCGCGGUCCUCCGCACCGGCGCCCUUCGGGGGGCUGGCCAGCGCCCGCCAGAGGACCAUAAAACUCCAGUCAGUGAACUUCGCAGUCUGAAAAACAAGUUAAUAAACUAAAACUUUCAACAACGGAUCUCUUGGUUCUGGCAUCGAUGAAGAACGCAGCGAAAUGCGAUAAGUAAUGUGAAUUGCAGAAUUCAGUGAAUCAUCGAAUCUUUGAACGCACAUUGCGCCCCUUGGUAUUCCGAGGGGCAUGCCUGUUCGAGCGUCAUUUCAACCCUCAAGCUCUGCUUGGUAUUGGGCCCCGUCCUCCACGGACGCGCCUUAAAGACCUCGGCGGUGGCGUCUUGCCUCAAGCGUAGUAGAAAACACCUCGCUUUGGAGCGCAUGGCGUCGCCCGCCGGACGAACCUUUGAAUUAUUUCUCAAGGUUGACCUCGGAUCAGGUAGGGAUACCCGCUGAACUUAAGCAUAUCAAUAAGCCGGAGGAA
This 584-nucleotide ribosomal RNA is filed under the name Neofusicoccum parvum. RNAcentral's name for it is "eukaryotic LSU rRNA". The stretch from base 212 to 365 matches the Rfam family "5.8S ribosomal RNA". Lineage: Eukaryota; Fungi; Ascomycota; Dothideomycetes; Botryosphaeriales; Botryosphaeriaceae. The record is from RNAcentral.